This 521-nucleotide long non-coding RNA is filed under the name Gallus gallus (chicken). RNAcentral's name for it is "long non-coding RNA NONGGAT004820". Lineage: Eukaryota; Metazoa; Chordata; Aves; Galliformes; Phasianidae. The record is from RNAcentral.
CUGGACCAAUAUCUGCAGCAACAGCAGCAAUGGCAAUUUUUAAGAAGUAGCUCGGUUAGUAAUACUGCGAUAGCUUGUUACACAUCUGAAAAUAGUUCUCUCUAAACAGCUUCUUAGACAAAGCACAGAGUGGAAAUCCCCAGCUGGAACUGAACUGGUGCUGCUGAUGUCACCUUAACAACAAAGUCAGCAAUACAGAAGAUGUAGGAAACUGUCAUAUUAUGUCAAGUUACAUUUCAGUGCCACGGCAGCCUCACCUGAAAUAAAGUAGCAGCAGGAGCAAUGACCUGCAAUCCUAGGAAUUUCCCAUGAAGAAGCCACUAUCUGCAAUAUGGGUUUAGCAGAUCUAAGGUCUUGCCAGUGAAGACAAGUUACAAAAGGAACUUGCUAGCAGUGACUCAUGCAUUUGUGGAUACAUUUCAUCAAUGACUAGCGUGAUUCCAGCUAAACUGCAGAGCCAGCUGCAAUGCAAUCCAGCAGCACAAGAAACAUAACUAGACUGGAGAAAUGCAACCAGCUGC